CCUCUCUCAGGAUUGCUCCUGGAGAGUUUCCGGUACUCUACCAGUCCCGACUACGGGAGGGAGAGUCAAGCAGAAGCGUACCCAUUCCAUUCCUGGCUUGGCCGGUGGCUAGCGAGUGGACGGCAAUCUGCUACAAGU
Molecule: small nucleolar RNA, 138 nt
Organism: Ornithorhynchus anatinus (platypus)
Lineage: Eukaryota; Metazoa; Chordata; Mammalia; Monotremata; Ornithorhynchidae
Source: RefSeq, a predicted model, not a curated record